Molecule: ribosomal RNA, 375 nt
Filed under: Kryptoperidinium foliaceum
Lineage: Eukaryota; Dinophyceae; Peridiniales; Kryptoperidiniaceae
Description: partial Bacterial large subunit ribosomal RNA
Rfam family: Bacterial large subunit ribosomal RNA
Source: RNAcentral
GUUCCGACCUGCACGAAUGGCGUAACGACUUCCCCGCUGUCUCCAGCAGAGACUCAGUGAAAUUGAAUUCCCCGUGAAGAUGCGGGGUUCCUGCGGUCAGACGGAAAGACCCCGUGCACCUUUACUACAGCUUCGCAGUGGCGUUAGUGGCGAUAUGUGUAGGAUAGGCGGGAGGCUUUGAAACCGGAGCGCCAGUUCCGGUGGAGCCAUCCUUGAAAUACCGCCCUUAUCCUCAUUGACGUCUAACCGCGGUCCAUGAACCUGGAUCCGGGACCCUGCGUGGUGGGUAGUUUGACUGGGGCGGUCGCCUCCCAAAUGGUAACGGAGGCGCGCGAAGGUGGGCUCAGAGCGGUCGGAAAUCGCUCGUUGAGUGCA